GACGAACUAGUUCUCUUCUACCUUAAGCCCAUGUUGAGCGGAGAGAUGGUGCCCGGCAGAAACCGCGUGGUGUUCGACUGCGACCUCUACGGUCACCAAGAACCGUGGGAGAUAUGGGAAGCCUACAAGACCAGAAGACCAAACGACUUGAGGCUCAACAAGGACAUCUACUUCUUCACCCAACACAAGACGAUGAGUUCCACAGACACACGCAUACACCGGACCGUUGGCAAUGGCACCUGGAAGGGCGACGACUCCGGCAAGCCAGUAAAAUCUCUGGAGACUGGUCGUGUGGUUGGCUUGAAGAAAAGACUUACUUACAAGAACCAAGCAUCGGAGCACAACGG
Molecule: long non-coding RNA, 347 nt
Filed under: Rosa chinensis
Lineage: Eukaryota; Viridiplantae; Streptophyta; Magnoliopsida; Rosales; Rosaceae
Description: sRNA RchiOBHm_Chr7g0236121
Source: RNAcentral